This is a long non-coding RNA of Taeniopygia guttata (zebra finch), 1178 nucleotides long. RefSeq lists it as uncharacterized. The record is from RefSeq and is a predicted model, not a curated record. Lineage: Eukaryota; Metazoa; Chordata; Aves; Passeriformes; Estrildidae.
CCCCGUUCCCUCUCCCCUCUCCCCGUUCUCUCCCUUCUCCCCGCUCUCUCUCCCCGCAGCCGGGGCUCGGGAGCGCCCGCCAAAGGCGCUGCGUGGGGGAUGCUCGCUCAGCCCCGCCGGAGCAUCCUCCUCCUCCAUCUCCUCCUCCUUCUCCUUCUCCUUCUCCUCCUCCUCCUCCUCCUCCUCCUCCCCUCCGCCCGCUCUCCCGCUCGGGGGCCCGGCAGUGCCCGGGGACAGCCGGGGACAGCGGGAGCGCCCGGCCAGCCCAGAGCAUCCAAAGCAUCGAUCCGGACCGUGCCAUGGCAACGAGACCCCGCGCCCGCCGAGGUGGGCACCCAUGGAGGGUGAGGAGGAGGAGGAGGAGUUUGGAUGUAACCCCGUACUCCCAAACCCGAAGUAAUGCAGCUGAGCUCGUUCUAUUUUAAGAUCUCCAGACCCAUUUUUCUGCUGCACACCCAGAUCUCGAGGAUGCUGGGACAUCCUGGUUUUGUUCCUUUUACUCCCAAACUCUGACACCCAAAGGGACACCACCUGUUGCCAUUCCCUCCUGACCAGCGAAUCCACACCCUGGCGUAUUUCCAAUUCCAGCUAACGCAGAAUGCAGCUCACAGAUGUUCUCACCAGACCAAGCACGUUUUUUGGAGUCACAGAAAACCCAUCUGCUCUCCACUUCGUCCUCCUCUUCCUCACAGCCUGGUUUACCUAAAGAAUGAAUGUCCAGAUUCCCUAAGGAGCACAGGGCCCACCACAGCUGGUCAAGGCAGACCCAGGGACCUGCCCAGCCCUGUAGCUCAUCUUGGAUUAGCAGCAGAUGUGCCAGAAGGAAAGGACAGAGUCUUACAGUAUGCAGGUAUCUUUAUUUUCUUGCUGAUUCUAUUGGUUUAACCCCUGAAGCAUGAAAGGUUAUUGUAAUUACAUUACAAAAAUGGAUGCAGUAAUCAUUCCUCUGGAUACUCCUGAUAUCCAUGGAAGUGCCCAGUCCCUCUCCCACUCUCGCUGAGUACUUGAUGCUGUGCUGACCAGCACCACUGGACAUCUCCUGAGAAAUCCUGUUGAUCAGUUUUCAGUUUCCUGAACUCUUCAAACCGGCAGUACUUCUCCUUCUCAUUGUACCUGAGCCCCAUCCCCUCUGUGCUCUGAGCUACCUACACCCAAUCUGGCCCUCUCAGCCAGGAAAC